Molecule: microRNA precursor, 136 nt
Filed under: Gossypium hirsutum (cotton)
Lineage: Eukaryota; Viridiplantae; Streptophyta; Magnoliopsida; Malvales; Malvaceae
Description: MIR7502 microRNA precursor family
Rfam family: MIR7502 microRNA precursor family
Source: Rfam by way of RNAcentral
UAUCAAAAAAAUUCAUUCAUUUUAUUGUUAAAAAUUGACAUGACUGACUAGAAAGUUACAUAUGACAUGCCACAUAUACCUCGUUCUGACGUACAAUGACUAAUUUUUAAUGGUAAAAAUAGAUGAAUUUUUAACA